CCUCCCCAGCCAUGUGGAACUGUGUGGAGUCUAAGAAGUCCAAGGUUGAGGAGCUGCAUCUGAUGAGAGCCUUCUUGCUGGUUGGGAUCCUCUGCAGAGUCUUGAGUUGGGCAUUAAAAACUGUAUCACAGACACAUGAAUAUUGUAGGCCUCAUCUCCAAGUAUUACCACACUGAGGGUCAAGACUUCAACAUAUGGUGGAGAGCAGGAGAAGUCCGAAGAACUAAGUUCAAAACUUUUGAAAAUGUAGAGUUCUCAAGAGUUUGAGAGAGCCUUACUGGGAGAAUGCAGCCGGGCUGGGCAGAAUGCAGCCGGGCUGGGCAGAAUGCAAUCCCCAGCAAACUUGUGGUGCUGACAUAAAGAAGCGUCUCAAAAUGCUCAACUCAAACCUCUGAAGCAUGGAAGGAAACCUAUCAAGCUCUCUGUCAAAACUCCAUAAAGAUCCAGAAUAAAUAAAGAAUGCUUACAAUUCAACAAUGUAAAGACAAAUAACAAAUAAGUGGGCGAAUGAUUUCAAUAGACUUUUCCCAAAAAAAGUUGCAUGACAAAGAAUAAGCUCGUGAAAGGGUGCUCAACAUUGUUAAUCAUUAGGGAGACGCAAUGCAAAAACAGAAAGAUGGAUGGAAACUUUUCACCCACUAAAAUGCAUGCAACAAAAAAGACAGAUAACAGGUAUAAUGAUGUAGAAAAACUGGAACCUUAUGUUACUGGUGGGAAUGUAAAGUGGUACAGAGGCUUUGGAAAAUAAUCUGGCAGUUCCUCAAAUGAUAUAACAUAGAAGACAGCAAUUCUACACCUAGAUAUGUACCCAAGAAAAAUGAAAACAUUUCUAAACAAAGAUGCGUACGUGGAUAUUGAUAGCUACAUUAUUCCUUAUGGCCCAAAGUGGCAACAAUCUAAAUGCCCAUCAACUGAUGAAUGAAUAAAGAAAAUGUGUUAUAUCUAUACAAUGGAAUAUAAAGAAAUGAAGUACUGUUCCAUGCUACUACACAGAUGAUCCCUGAAAACAUUAUGUAAAAUAAAAGCCAGUCACAGAGGAUAACAUGU
This 1047-nucleotide long non-coding RNA is filed under the name Homo sapiens (human). RNAcentral's name for it is "HSALNT0325674". The record is from RNAcentral. Lineage: Eukaryota; Metazoa; Chordata; Mammalia; Primates; Hominidae.